RNAcentral lists this ribosomal RNA (452 nucleotides) under uncultured bacterium. RNAcentral's name for it is "partial 16S ribosomal RNA". It matches the Rfam family "Bacterial small subunit ribosomal RNA", at positions 28 to 507 of the family's 1533-position model. The record is from RNAcentral.
GAUGAACGCUGGCGGCGUGCCUAAUACAUGCAAGUCGAGCGAUUAUCCUCGGAGAUGGCUGGCGGACGGGUGAGUAACGCGUGGGUAACAUGCCCUGUACACACGGACAACAUGCCGAAGGGUACGUUAAUACGAGAUAAUAUGCUUCUAUUGAUUGGUUGAAGUACAAAAGUCUUUACUGUAAAGGAUGUAACCGCGUCCGUUUAGCUGGUUGCUAAGGGAACGGCUUACUAAGGCGACGAUCAGCAGCCGAGCUGAGAGGGUGAUCGGCCACAUUGGAGCGGAGACACAGUCCAAACUCCUACGCGAGGCAGCAGUGGGGAAUAUUGCACAAUGGGCGGAAGCCUGAUGCAGCAACGCCGCGUAAGCGAUGAAGGCCUUCGGGUCGUAAAGUUCUGUCCUCAAGGAAGAUAAUGACGGUACUUGAGGAGGAAGCCCCGGCUAACUACGUG